RNAcentral lists this ribosomal RNA (249 nucleotides) under uncultured bacterium. RNAcentral's name for it is "partial 16S ribosomal RNA". It matches the Rfam family "Bacterial small subunit ribosomal RNA", at positions 524 to 772 of the family's 1533-position model. The record is from RNAcentral.
UACGAAGGGGGCUAGCGUUGUUCGGAAUUACUGGGCGUAAAGCGCGCGCAGGUGGUCUUUCAAGUCAGUGGUGAAAGCCCGGAGCUCAACUCCGGAAAUGCCAUUGAAACUGUAAGACUUGAGGAUGAGAGAGGUGAGUGGAAUUCCCAGUGUAGAGGUGAAAUUCGUAGAUAUUAGGAAGAACACCGGUGGCGAAGGCGGCCCACUGGUCCGGUACUGACGCUGAGGUGCGAAAGCGUGGGGAGCAAA